This 188-nucleotide long non-coding RNA is filed under the name Ictidomys tridecemlineatus (thirteen-lined ground squirrel). Its description in RNAcentral is "lncRNA (ENSSTOG00000032340.1)". Lineage: Eukaryota; Metazoa; Chordata; Mammalia; Rodentia; Sciuridae. The record is from RNAcentral.
UUUUGUCACUCAACAGUUAACUGCCACCUCUCUAUCCCUUCUUCCUCAGGAGAACCAGCACCAGCUUCUGAAUCACAACUCUGCCCAGAAAACUAUCUUCUGAUAUUGCUGAUCAUCUGUGUUUUUGGUGUUUCAUUUAGAUAUUUAUUGUUACCAUUCCAUUCUUUUCAUUUUUGUGUACUGAUAUU